AACGAACGCUGGCGGCGCGCCUAAUACAUGCAAGUCGAGCGAGAAGACGUAGCAAUACGUUUGUAAAGCGGCGAACGGGUGAGGAAUACAUGGGCAACCUACCCUCGAGUGGGGAAUAACUAGCCGAAAGGUUAGCUAAUACCGCGUACGCUCCUUGGACUUCGGUUCAGGGAGGAAAGCGAUACCGUGGGUAUCGCGCUCUUGGAUGGGCUCAUGUCCUAUCAGCUUGUUGGUGAGGUAACGGCUCACCAAGGCUUCGACGGGUAGCUGGUCUGAGAGGACGAUCAGCCACACUGGCACUGCGACACGGGCCAGACUCCUACGGGAGGCAGCAGUAAGGAAUAUUGCGCAAUGGGCGAAAGCCUGACGCAGCGACGCCGCGUGGGGGAUGAAGGUCUUCGGAUUGUAAACCCCUUUCGGGAGGGAAGAUGGAACGAGCAAUCGUUCGGACGGUACCUCCAGAAGCAGCCACGGCUAACUUCGUGCCAGCCGCCGCAGU
RNAcentral lists this ribosomal RNA (499 nucleotides) under uncultured bacterium. RNAcentral describes it as "bacterial SSU rRNA". It matches the Rfam family "Bacterial small subunit ribosomal RNA", at positions 29 to 521 of the family's 1533-position model. The record is from RNAcentral.